UAUUCAAGUCAGAGGUGAAAGCACGGGGCUCAACCCCGGAACUGCCUUUGAAACUAGAUAGCUUGAAUCCAGGAGAGGUGAGUGGAAUUCCGAGUGUAGAGGUGAAAUUCGUAGAUAUUCGGAAGAACACCAGUGGCGAAGGCGGCUCACUGGACUGGUAUUGACGCUGAGGUGCGAAAGCGUGGGGAGCAA
Molecule: ribosomal RNA, 192 nt
Filed under: uncultured bacterium
Lineage: Bacteria
Description: partial 16S ribosomal RNA
Rfam family: Bacterial small subunit ribosomal RNA
Source: RNAcentral